AGACAGAUGUGGAAACUGAGGCAAACAGAAUUAAGUGUCUUGCUCAGGAUCACACAGCUACUGUCUGAGGCCAAAUUUAAGCUAAAGGAGGUGCCAAAUAAAUGCUUAUUCCCUUCUUCCCUCCCCCUACCUCCUCACCUGUGAUUUCAUCAGUUUAAGGUCUAGGGUGGAAAUUCUCCUGCUCAAACAUUGUUGGGCAACUUUUCUAAAACAAGUUCUUAGAUAAUAGAUUUAGAGCUGAAAAGCCCUAGAGAGCUCAUUGAGUCUCACCCACUCAUUUUACAGAUGAAGACACUGGGGGAUUGACAGGGUCUUUGAGCUACUCCACUAAGUGACAGAACUGAAAUUUGAACUCUGCCCUCCAGAUCAUCCCUGAGUGCAGCAAGUGCCCCUAGGAGGUCAAGCUCACCUGGUGGGGCCAUAGUGGUACUGUGCUUGCUCCGCAUUGAGGAUAAAAAGAAAUGCAAACUUAGUCUUUAAUCUUCAGGAUUCGCCAUUCUCAUGGGAGAAAGAGACGACAUGUACAACCAGUUAUCUGUUCCCGGUCAAGAAUGCCACGUGAUGAAAUUCACCAGAGAUGUUUGCCAGCAAAUAUAUUGACCCAAUUACAGAGCAUCCAAUGGGAUCCUUCCUCAUUGCCAUGGCACACAGAGAGAGCCCCAGUAUCACUGCGUAACAGAGUGUCCCCAGGAUGUCUUUGUGACCCGAUUAAUUCUUGGCAUGCUGGCCCAGCCAUCUCAGAAAAGAGCAGUGACAAUACUCUCUUUAGCUUGAGGAAAAAAACAUGGCAGCAGAUGGUACCUUUAACAGAUGACAGCAGCAACUUGGUGAAGAAGCAAUAG
RNAcentral lists this long non-coding RNA (842 nucleotides) under Monodelphis domestica (gray short-tailed opossum). Its description in RNAcentral is "lncRNA (ENSMODG00000034689.2)". Lineage: Eukaryota; Metazoa; Chordata; Mammalia; Didelphimorphia; Didelphidae. The record is from RNAcentral.